AUGAGCAGCAUCGACAACGGUGGCAACAAUGUCGGUGCGACCGGUGGUACGCCGACUACACCGCCGAGGCCGCACUGGAGGAGAAGGGACCCUACCGCCACCGUCGUCUACGUCGUGCCACCUUCCCAGUUCCGCAGCGUCGUGCAACAACUCACCGGCGCCGCGUCGUCCAACACGGCAUCGUCCGACGCUCAGCGUUACAUUGUUGCGCCCUGCGUUGUCCACGCCAACGCGGGCCUUGCGGCGGCGGGGAGUCGUGCCGAAGGUGGUGGCGGCGAGGAGGCGAAUCGUGCUACUGGCAGUAACAGGACGACGGCAACGACGAUGAGACAGAUGUUGGAGAAGUGCAUGGCUUGGGCUUCCGACGACCAUGACGAGAACUAG
RNAcentral lists this ribosomal RNA (384 nucleotides) under Triticum aestivum (bread wheat). RNAcentral's name for it is "partial small subunit ribosomal RNA". The record is from RNAcentral. Lineage: Eukaryota; Viridiplantae; Streptophyta; Magnoliopsida; Poales; Poaceae.